This 483-nucleotide ribosomal RNA is filed under the name uncultured bacterium. RNAcentral's name for it is "partial 16S ribosomal RNA". It matches the Rfam family "Bacterial small subunit ribosomal RNA", at positions 28 to 507 of the family's 1533-position model. The record is from RNAcentral.
GACGAACGCUGGCGGCGUGCUUAACACAUGCGAGUCGAACGCUGAAGCUCAGCUUUUGUUGGGUGGAUGAGUGGCGAACGGGUGAGUAACACGUGAGUAACCUGCCCCCUUCUUUGGGAUAACGCCCGGAAACGGGUGCUAAUACUGGAUAUUCACUGGUCUUCGCAUGGGGGUUGGUGGAAAGGGUUUUUCUGGUGGGGGAUGGGCUCGCGGCCUAUCAGCUUGUUGGUGGGGUGAUGGCCUACCAAGGCUUUGACGGGUAGCCGGCCUGAGAGGGUGACCGGUCACAUUGGGACUGAGAUACGGCCCAGACUCCUACGGGAGGCAGCAGUGGGGAAUAUUGCACAAUGGGCGCAAGACUGAUGCAGCGACGCAGCGUGAGGGAUGGAGGCCUUCGGGUUGUGAACCUCUUUCGCUCAUGGUCAAGCCGCAACAAUGGUUGUGGUGAGGGUAGUGGGUAAAGAAGCGCCGGCUAACUACGUG